CCUACGGGGGGCAGCAGUGGGGAAUAUUGCACAAUGGGGGAAACCCUGAUGCAGCAACGCCGCGUGAGUGAAGAAGUAUUUCGGUAUGUAAAGCUCUAUCAGCAGGGAAGAAGAUGACGGUACCUGAAUAAGAAGCCCCGGCUAACUACGUGCCAGCAGCCGCGGUAAUACGUAGGGGGCAAGCGUUAUCCGGAUUUACUGGGUGUAAAGGGAGCGCAGACGGCGAUGCAAGCCAGGAGUGAAAGCCCGGGGCCCAACCCCGGGACUGCUCUUGGAACUGCGUGGCUGGAGUGCAGGAGGGGCAGGCGGAAUUCCUGGUGUAGCGGUGAAAUGCGUAGAUAUCAGGAGGAACACCGGUGGCGAAGGCGGCCUGCUGGACUGCAACUGACGUUGAGGCCCGAAAGCGUGGGGAGCAAACAGGAUUAGAUACCCCGGUAGUC
RNAcentral lists this ribosomal RNA (440 nucleotides) under uncultured bacterium. Its description in RNAcentral is "partial 16S ribosomal RNA". It matches the Rfam family "Bacterial small subunit ribosomal RNA", at positions 338 to 795 of the family's 1533-position model. The record is from RNAcentral.